RNAcentral lists this ribosomal RNA (440 nucleotides) under uncultured bacterium. Its description in RNAcentral is "partial 16S ribosomal RNA". It matches the Rfam family "Bacterial small subunit ribosomal RNA", at positions 338 to 795 of the family's 1533-position model. The record is from RNAcentral.
CCUACGGGAGGCAGCAGUGGGGAAUAUUGCACAAUGGGGGAAACCCUGAUGCAGCGACGCCGCGUGAGUGAAGAAGUAAUUCGGUAUGUAAAGCUCUAUCAGCAGGGAAGAAAAUGACGUUACCUGAGUAAGAAGCCGCGACUAACCACGUGCCAGCAGCCGCGGUCAUACGUAGGGGGCAAGUGUUAUCCGGAUUUACUGGGUGUUAAGGGAGCGUAGACGGCAGGGCAAGUCUGGAGUGCAAGGCGGGGGCCCAACCCCCGGACUGGUCUGGAAACUGGACGGCUGGAGUGCAGGUGAGGUAAGUGGAAUUCCUAGUGGAGCGGUGAAAGGCGUAGAUAUUAGGAGGAACACCAGUGGCGAAGGCGGCUUACUGGACUGUAACUGACGUUGAGGCUCGAAAGCGUGGGGAGCAAACAGGAUUAGAUACCCGAGUAGUC